This is a non-coding RNA of Puma concolor (puma), 283 nucleotides long. The record is from RefSeq and is a predicted model, not a curated record. NCBI's taxonomy places the organism in Eukaryota, Metazoa, Chordata, Mammalia, Carnivora, Felidae.
AAAACCAAAGCCUAGAAAGGACACCAACCGACAUCGUUGGUUGAUGGGUUUCUUUGAUUCAUUGCUUCAUUCAUCGCACUGAGUGCGUACACGCCAACCUAGGUUGGGCCCAAGGGGCAUGGCCAUUGUCAGGAGCAUCCGCUGGUCACUGCUGUCUCCCCGUUUGGAUCGCCUCUGGUCCUUCUUUCCGCUGACUCUCUUCUCCCAGGGUAGGAGACUUCACAUCAGAUCCUCUUAGACUUCUGCACCCAUCCCCACAUCAGUGGGGCUUCAGUUGAUAGCC